CAGAACCUGAGGGGUUAAAUACUGCUUUGCACAAGGCUGCAUCUCGUGUCUUGGUCUGUGCUGCAGCUGCUGUUCCAGUCCUCCACUUCCUUUGAGUGGAGGCUUUCGCUUGGAGCUGUAGGAGGAGGCUCCUCUGCCUCCCACAGUUCAGUACCAGAGUGGAAGGUUACGUGCUGCCAUUACUUACUUGCUGUGGUGUUUCUUUCAUUUGCCUCCACCUUUCACUGUCUCAGCCUGGAUGUAGCCCAGAUUUGUGAAAUGCACAGCAGUAGAAUUUGAGUUUUCAAGUGAAAUAACUCUUCCUUGUCUGAACCGUCCUUCAAAAUGCGGGAUUAGAAGUUUCCUACCACAUCAUCUUUAGGACUCCCAGAAAAUUCUUCUGCAGCUUGUGGCUGCCCGGAAAAGGAUGUUGUAGUAGUCUGGCAAAAUGAACUCAAGAUGCACAAGAAGAACAUACUAGAGACUGAUCUGCAAGGUUCACAGGAAUCUUUAGGAAGAUCUGUUCAGAGAAGUGCACAGAAAUCUGUUAUUCAGCUGAAUUUGCAGAGUCGGCUGGCAGCCUUAUGAGGAAAACUUUUCUGGAAUUUCAUCUUGCAUCUAGUUCUGACAAGAGGAGAUUGGAAUUCGAAAGAAACAAAAGAGUGAUCCUCACAGAUUCAAUCAUUUCUGGUCGACGUCUUCACUAAAAAUAUUAUGAGGCGUCUAGAUUGCUGCAGAGAGCAAAGAGCUACUCACAUUACAGUAUCUCCUGAGGAAGGGAUGGAAGAUCUGAGCCCACGGGCUGAGUCCCGGGACUCAUCCAGCAGAGAGGUGGGCUGUCCCCCCUUCCAACUGUCACCUGUCCUCAGCUCUAGCCAAAACAGAAUGCCUAAGGAAGUUCACUGAUAAGAUGCAAACCAGAAUCUGCCUGUUGGUUAUCUUUCCAGACAUGUUUCAGAGCUAAUAAGGGAGACUGACGAGUACCAUGACUUCAAACAGAAGCAUUUUGACCGAACAAGGAAGGAAACAAAACAUUUGAGCUCUCUGUGUAAAGGCAGCUACUUUCUCUGUGCCUUUUUCUUUCCUCUGUUUAAUUCCCGGUACCCUAGAGAUACAGUUUCCUCCCUUAGCAGGGACUGUGACCUUAAAAAUAGCCAGUUCCAAAAUAAACACAGCCAAAAAAGAAAAAAAAAAACCCGACACUUCAAUUGUUUCACAUAUAUGGUAAGUAAUCAAAACUGCAUCCUUGCUAAAGCUGAAAUUCAUAAACUUUUGAAGCUUUUGUUUCUCUGAGACUUUUGUUUCUCUGAGAAAUCCAUUAAAACCUUGGGUGCCCUUUGCCAAUGGUUUGUCUCUGUCCUUACCACUGUGGCAGAGUUUCCAGAGGACACGGUUUGUCAUUGGCUCAGUGGAGGGUGCGCUCACAUCACACAGGAAAGGGGUGAUCCCAAGGCCUCCUCACGGACACCUCUAUAUGGGUUUGUCUCCUGCUGGAAGGCAUCACUGCUGC
This 1489-nucleotide long non-coding RNA is filed under the name Gallus gallus (chicken). Lineage: Eukaryota; Metazoa; Chordata; Aves; Galliformes; Phasianidae. The record is from RNAcentral.